UCCAUCAUCCAGAGCUGGGAACAACUCAUUGUUUUGUGAGUCACAAGUAAAUCUUGAGUCUUUGCAUUCAAGUCCCAAGUCAAGACGGACAAGUCCAAGUCGAGAUGAGCAGACAGAUGAUGUGACUUAUACUGAAGUUACUGUGGUCAGUAAAGACAGAGCCAAAAAGAACAAGGUUUGCUGUGAUGAUAAAGUGACUUACGCUUCCAUCGGAGGAGCAAAAGCUGAAGACUGCAGUCAACUUUACGCUUCUGUGAACAAGAACCAUCACAAAUCAGGAAAAUAAUCAUACAAUAAUCAGAAUGAGCUUUAUUUCCAGGUAUGUUUACACAUACAAAGAAUUUGUUUUAGAGACAGAAGCUUCACAGUGCAACAUGACAGGAUGACAGUGAAAAAACAGGACACAGAUAAUAAUAAGAAGAAGAAUAUACAAACAUACAAAAUAGACAAUGUACUAAAUAGCUAAAACAAAAUAUGUAAUACAGACAAUUAUGUAUGUACAGUUAAAUGUGUUAAAUAAAUUGUAUACUAUUGUAUACUAGUGUUGUGUGUUCCACAGUUAUUAUCAAGAGUUCAUUAGAU
Carassius carassius (crucian carp) is the source of this 582-nucleotide long non-coding RNA. RefSeq lists it as uncharacterized. NCBI's taxonomy places the organism in Eukaryota, Metazoa, Chordata, Actinopteri, Cypriniformes, Cyprinidae. The transcript is spliced from 3 exons. The record is from RefSeq and is a predicted model, not a curated record.